Molecule: ribosomal RNA, 497 nt
Filed under: uncultured bacterium
Lineage: Bacteria
Description: partial 16S ribosomal RNA
Rfam family: Bacterial small subunit ribosomal RNA
Source: RNAcentral
GAUGAACGCUGGCGGCGUGCCUAAUACAUGCAAGUCGAGCGAACAGACGAGGAGCUUGCUCCUCUGACGUUAGCGGCGGACGGGUGAGUAACACGUGGAUAACCUACCUAUAAGACUGGGAUAACUUCGGGAAACCGGAGCUAAUACCGGAUAAUAUAUUGAACCGCAUGGUUCAAUAGUGAAAGACGGUUUUGCUGUCACUUAUAGAUGGAUCCGCGCCGCAUUAGCUAGUUGGUAAGGUAACGGCUUACCAAGGCAACGAUGCGUAGCCGACCUGAGAGGGUGAUCGGCCACACUGGAACUGAGACACGGUCCAGACUCUUACGGGAGGCAGCAGUAGGGUAUCUUCCGCAAUGGGCGAAAGCCUGACGGAGCAACGCCGCGUGAGUGAUGAAGGUCUUCGGAUCGUAAAACUCUGUUAUUAGGGAAGAACAAAUGUGUAAGUAACUAUGCACGUCUUGACGGUACCUAAUCAGAAAGCCACGGCUAACUACGUG